This 492-nucleotide ribosomal RNA is filed under the name uncultured bacterium. RNAcentral describes it as "partial 16S ribosomal RNA". It matches the Rfam family "Bacterial small subunit ribosomal RNA", at positions 29 to 507 of the family's 1533-position model. The record is from RNAcentral.
AGUGAACGCUGGCGGUAGGCCUAACACAUGCAAGUCGAACGGCAGCACAGUAAGAGCUUGCUCUUACGGGUGGCGAGUGGCGGACGGGUGAGGAAUACAUCGGAAUCUACUUUUUCGUGGGGGAUAACGUAGGGAAACUUAUGCUAAUACCGCAUACGACCUACGGGCGAAAGCAGGGGAUCUUCGGACCUUGCGCGAUUGAAUGAGCCGAUGUCGGAUUAGCUAGUUGGCGGGGUAAAGGCCCACCAAGGCGACGAUCCGUAGCUGGUCUGAGAGGAUGAUCAGCCACACUGGAACUGAGACACGGUCCAGACUCCUACGGGAGGCAGCAGUGGGGAAUAUUGGACAAUGGGCGCAAGCCUGAUCCAGCCAUACCGCGUGGGUGAAGAAGGCCUUCGGGUUGUAAAGCCCUUUUGUUGGGAAAGAAAAGCAGCAGGUUAAUACCCCGCUGUUCUGACGGUACCCAAAGAAUAAGCACCGGCUAACUUCGUG